AUGACUUCUUGGCCUUGUGGCUAAGAUCAAGUGUAGAACAUGUUCUUGUUAGUUUAAUGUCUGAUAUAUCCUCUACUGAGAACAGUAUAGUAAAUGGAUUUUUGGAGCGGGGAGUUGGAAAGGAGCUUGCUGGGUCCACUCCAUGCAGAGCCGUGGUACUGCUAUAUCUCCAGGAACGGUGCACCCCUU
RNAcentral lists this small nuclear RNA (189 nucleotides) under Catagonus wagneri (Chacoan peccary). RNAcentral's name for it is "U2 spliceosomal RNA (ENSCWAG00000021229.1)". It matches the Rfam family "U2 spliceosomal RNA". From Rfam's summary of the family: U2 is a small nuclear RNA (snRNA) component of the spliceosome (involved in pre-mRNA splicing). Complementary binding between U2 snRNA (in an area lying towards the 5' end but 3' to hairpin I) and the branchpoint sequence (BPS) of the intron results the bulging out of an unpaired adenosine, on the BPS, which initiates a nucleophilic attack at the intronic 5' splice site, thus starting the first of two transesterification reactions that mediate splicing. Lineage: Eukaryota; Metazoa; Chordata; Mammalia; Artiodactyla; Tayassuidae. The record is from Rfam by way of RNAcentral.